Molecule: long non-coding RNA, 2058 nt
Filed under: Pan troglodytes (chimpanzee)
Lineage: Eukaryota; Metazoa; Chordata; Mammalia; Primates; Hominidae
Description: long non-coding RNA NONPTRT015959
Source: RNAcentral
UUAUUCUCUAAAACUCUCCAGUUUCAAUUGGCCUCUUGGUGCCAAAGCACCAUGGCGUGUUACACCUAUCAGAUCGGGCACACUGCCCCUUCUUCCCAACCUAAGAGCUGAAAUGGCCAGCACUGCGCCUUCCAGAACUCAGCGUAGAUGCACAGCUGCCACGGAGGUAGGAAGAAUGAUUCGUUUGCCACCAAAAGCCCAGUUUCUCCAACAGGUGAAUCCCUAGGCCAGCCCGGCCCCUUCCCACACACCCCUACCCCGAGACGGGUGCAGAAUCAGCAGCGGGGAUCAUCCAGAAACUCUCGCAGUCCAUGGCAGGUGUCGGAGUGGGCCUCAUUCCAGAGUUGUGGUGGCCGUUCCACCUGGCGAGCUUCGAGGGGACUCCGGCAGGCGCUCGCUGUGGGGUCCUCCCACCAGUCUUCUCAGCACAGGAACGGUGCCUUCACAUUGGUCUUCCAGGGCUUAAAAGCAUAUCAUUCCUGCUUGCUCUUCAGAUGCAAACGCCCCCUCCAAGGAUACCUCCAGGUUCCCUGCCAGCUCACUUGACUCACAUGGCAAUGGUCACCGGGCUGCCUGAGCCCAAAUCAAGCACCGUUUAUUAGGAGGAAGCUCUGUUAUCCAGAAAGCUCAUCUUUGAAGAGCUACCCAUUUCCUGCCAAAGUUGUGGCGGGAAGGCCUUAGGUACUAGAAAACCUUGGGGAAUGGCAAUUAAAGGAUUAUCAUUCUUACUUAUUUGUUUGGAUAAGCAGCAAUCACCCUUCGGAUGCUUAUUGGUGAGAAUAUUUCUAAAAGCGUCCUGCACAUUUCCCUGCUUUGAUGAAUGGAACGGCAGGGCAGGAUUUAACUGUCUGAUGGCUACGGUUUCGGGAAAGUGCCAGAACCUCCACGUCAGCCACCCCAGAGCCACAGGCAGGGUAUGAGCCACAGCAAUGGGCCCCAAGAAAGAGCCCCACACCCACCAUGGUCCACGGAAGAUGCUGCUUACUGGCCCCGGGUUACCCGGAGUCAUGUGCAUUCUCCUUACACCAAGUGAAGAUAAUAUUUUGUUUCCUUCCCACUUUUUCUCUAACACAAGCCACCCCAGUUCUCCCUUCUGACAACAGGCAAGUGGACCCUAGACCUUCCAGAAAAGCCUUAGAGAGCACCCCCAAAUGCUCACAUUUGUCAGCUGUAAUUCCACCCUCAGUUAAAACCUGAUUCUCAAUGUGACUUGGCCAACGCAGCUUGCAAAGCAAGAACGUCUUCAUGUAAGGUUGAAAACAUCAGUUGUUUGGGUUGUGAGAAAAGAAAAGCCCACAGGGUUUCCGAGGCUUGGUGCUGUUUCCCACUGUCCUCAGCUCCGGAUUCUGCAGCUGGUUCUCUCUCCAAGCACCAGCAAAACCCUGUCCUAGGAGCCCCCAGACUCUGAGAGCCCAUGACCAAAAAGAAAAGGAAAGCCAAGUUGGGGAAGAACAGGGGCCCCCAACUCCACAGCCCUCCACUCUGCCCAGAGGGCCCACCCUGGGCUGCCUGGAACCCCCUAAAGUUGCCACCCCCGCAACACAGUAGUGGGGCAGUUCCUGGCAGCGCCUGCAGCCCAUGGGCUGGCUCUGUACCCGCAGCCCCGCCAAGCGUCUGUUAUCUUAUUUACUGGAAUCUGCACAGCCAGGCUCUAGCUCACCGGUGACUAAGGAGCUGCAGCCAUUAUUACCAGGCAGAUGGCAGACUCCCUAAAAGCAGACAUUAAACAAUAAAAUGCCACCACAUACCUUGCCCACAAAAUAAAAUCAAAACAAACACCUAAGUCUGGCUUUGCUUUUCUUCUGCUCUCUCCCUACCUCCCCUGUGUCAGAGCACAGGGGGAGAGGGGCACGGGGCACCGAGAAGGAAAUUUACGAUCGAGGAAGACCAUACGGACAUGCCCAGUGACCUUCAGAAGGUGGCAGUAGCAGAACCACCAUGGGACCCCAGGUGGCGGAGAGGGCAGACCCUGUCCAUGUGUGACAGGUGGGGCGGAACCACCAGCUAGGACAGGUGGGAUUGGAAGAACAAAGGAACGACAGGGACCCUGCAGAACCC